UGCACCCUUCGCUGUACGUGCGGUGGGAAUUAGUUUUGAGCCAACACUUUAUGAAGGGGAGCCGGGUUCCGCGACUAGUGCGGCUGGUGCUGUACGACUCAAGGGCUGGCACCCACCUGCGAAAGCAGGUUCAAAACUACCCCGCUCACGGCUGAUAGAAGGGUGUUU
This 168-nucleotide non-coding RNA is filed under the name Herpetosiphon sp. RNAcentral's name for it is "6S RNA". It matches the Rfam family "6S / SsrS RNA". Rfam says of the family: E. coli 6S RNA was the first non coding RNA to be sequenced, but its function was unknown until recently. Lineage: Bacteria; Bacillati; Chloroflexota; Chloroflexia; Herpetosiphonales; Herpetosiphonaceae. RNAcentral also lists the same sequence under 1 other name. The record is from RNAcentral.